Camelus dromedarius (Arabian camel) is the source of this 2419-nucleotide long non-coding RNA. RefSeq lists it as uncharacterized. The transcript has 4 exons. NCBI's taxonomy places the organism in Eukaryota, Metazoa, Chordata, Mammalia, Artiodactyla, Camelidae. The record is from RefSeq and is a predicted model, not a curated record.
UAGAGGCGCGGGCUGCCGCUGUGCGGCCAGGCGGGGCUCUUGGGCGCCUGAGGUGAACCUAGGUUUGUGGUAAGGAAGCUGAGUGUUCUAGUUUCUCUUUGUUACAAAUUACCUCAGAGCAACCAUUUAUUGUGCUGAUGGAUUUGUGGACCAGGAAUUCAUAUCAGGAUGGUUUGUCUCUCUGCUCCACGGUGUCUGAGGCCUCAGCUGAAAGACUUAACUCUGGGUCCAUGAUCAUCUAAAGGCUCAUCCACUCACAAGUUUAGUGACUGAUUGCUGAUGGACGCUGAGGAACUUUAUGUCAUAUUUUCACAUGGACUAGUUUGCACUUCCUAAAGGAUGGUGGAUGGAUUUCAAAGAUGUAUGCCCAAGAGGGAGAUUUCUGGAUCAUAUGAACUAGGAAUCCGAAGAGUAGGAGCCAAGAUUUACUUGUGAUGGAACCUUUCUCUCUGAAGACAUGCUACAAAACAAGAAGCAUCAUUGGAAUUCUUUCUGAGCUGAAGUUUCACAUGUGAUAAUGAGCUAGGAUUUGUACUCUUUGCAGUUACAAGAACCCCUUGAUCUCUGGGCCUUAAAGUUGCACUUAGUUCUAGGUGAAUGUGACCCCAAACUAUUUUACUUAGGGGAAAAAUGAUCAUUUAAGGUCACUGCUGCUUUAACACACUUUGGAAAGAUACCUAUGACCUACUCUUUAAAGGUAUAAUGUCUGCUCCAUUGGCAAAUGCAGAAAUUACCUUUCCACUCUCCCCAGUCAUCUUACAUUACUGAUGAGUGAAUAUGAUGGGAAGACAGUGUGAUGAAAAAUGUUGUUUAAGUUAAAGAAAAAUCCACUUAAAAUUCUCUACACAAGAGUAAAUUAUAGGCUUUCAAGCUGAGACAGAACCUGUCUAUUUAUCAGCUUAAACUGCAAUCCGUAUGGAAGAUAGAAAGGCCCUUGAGGAUUUCGAGUAAAAGUCAUCUUCACAUAAGGUGAUUUCUUAUAAUCUUUUCAUUAACUGUGUCCCCUAACAUUACUAAGGAUUUUUCUUUUACAAGUGGAAUUUUUAAAAAUUGAAUAUUCCUCUGAUAAUCCAUAUGUAUCAGCUGAUUUAAAAUAUUGUUCCUUAAAUAUAGAACAGGAUAUAAAUCUCCAUUAUUGGAACAAAUGAAUACCAUGUUAUACAUAUGGCAGAUUUUUAAAGAUAGGAUUCUGAUAAUGUUUUCAAGAAUGUGUUAUGAGAUAAUUCACUUAUGUGGGUACUUAGGAGCUGAGAGGAGAAGGAACAGAAGAGUUGAAAGCGUGAGGGGUAACAGAUGUGUUUGAAUCCCCAGCCUAUAAAAGUGAGCAGUGACUCAGCUUUAAGUGGUAUUUGACCCCAUGCUUUUUCUUUUAAUGAUCCUGACAUAUUUUACGCUGAAGAAUACAUACAUCCAUCUUUGCAUUCAUGCAACUGGAAACUAGCCUUGCAGAGCAAAGUAUACAGUUUAAGAAUUAUUUAUCAGAAUAUGAUUCAGCAUUACUGCAGCUAUAAAGUAGACAGCAAAAUUCAUUAAUUUUGAUGAAAACAGAUGUAGUAAUUAUAAUUAUUCCAAGGGAUUUUUGUCUCAGAGGAGCAUGUUUAUGGUAGAUUAGAUCUUGCAAAACACAGAGGCCAAUGCCUUGAUCAGUGCUUGAGUUUGAAGAUGGGCAAAUGAUUAAGCUGAUACUGAUGCAUAAAAGAGCAGUAUCAUAUAGUGAGCAUGGUUUUUGAUUAAGCUGAAAUAUAAAAUGGAUCAAGAUAAGACACUACCGUGGAAACUAUCUUGCUAUCAGCAAGGAGAAUCAGGAAGUAAUUUCUGGGACAAAUCUCAAAUUGAAUAACUUACCUGUUAAAGGUUGAAAAUGGAUUGCAUUAUUGGUUAUCUAUAUAAAAUAAGAUGGAGAGCAAAACUUUUUUAAAAAGAUCACUUGUUAGGAAGAGCAACUAUUAUAGUGUUACAAAAUGAAGUUGGGGUCUUCUCUGUAACCAUCAUGCUAGGACCUUGCAUAAACUGGACGUAGUUCUUGAAUCAAAGGUGGAUGGAAUGUUAAGGCUGUUUUCCAUGAUUGCUUACUAUUCAUUGAAAAAAGAGAAUUUGAAAGGUCAUAAAGUCUAGUCUGUGAAGAACGUAACUUUAAAGCUUUUCUUGGAGAAAGGGCCAAUCUUUUCUGUUUUGUUUUGUUUUUUUCUAGACUUUUUUGUUCUUUAGAUAUGUAUAUACAAAUUUAAGUCAAUUUUAUUUAUUGGUACCUUUUAAAAGGAGAAAUUUAUUAUAUAUAUAUAUUAGUGUAUAGAAAAAGAUUUGGGAAUAAAAUUUAUAAAUGUCAAAGAAUAAGGUUUUUUUUUCAGUUAAUUUUGCUGUAUGGAUUUGAAUAAAAUGAAUGAAUAUACUAAUGUAAAUAAACUAACUUUCCUCAAAA